Molecule: long non-coding RNA, 3105 nt
Filed under: Sus scrofa (pig)
Lineage: Eukaryota; Metazoa; Chordata; Mammalia; Artiodactyla; Suidae
Description: lncRNA (ENSSSCG00060016024.1)
Source: RNAcentral
GCACACCCGUGGCAUAUGGAGGCUCCCAGGCUAGGGGUCCAAUCAGAACUGUAGCUGCCAGCUUAUACCACAGCAGCCAUAGCAACGCCAGAUCCCAGCUGUGUCUGCAACUUAUGCCACAAUUCACAGCAACUCCAGAUCUUUAACGCACUGAGUGAGGCCAGGGAUUGAACCCGCAACCUCGUGGUUCCUAGGUGGAUUCAUUUCCACUGCGCCACAAUGGGAACUCCUGAACAUGUAUUGUUUUUAUGAAACUAAUAGAAACACUAUCCUUUGAAUACUGUUAUGCAAAACAAUGUGAAUAUACUUAUAUUUUUAAAUGGUUAAGAUGGUAAAUUUUGUUUGUGUUUUGCACCACAAUUAAUAAAAAAUACUGUUACAAAAAUUAUGAUAUAGAAUACAUCUAGCUAUUAUGGCCUUACAGAUGGAUUUUUGACUAUAGCAAAUUUUUCUCAAAUCAACUUUUCCACCCAAGGUUCCCCUUCAAACUUUACACUUCACUUAAUACUCUGUACUUGCCUAUAUACCUUAUCUAAUUUUAGAAAAUAAGAUUAUUCACUGGAAGAUAUUUUUAUAAGAAUGCAAAAUAGAUGCCAUAUAAAAAGUAAUAUAUUCUAUUACUCUAUUAAAUAUCUCAGUGUUUUAAGAAUAUAUGUCAUUUGAUUUACAUAUGUGGGGAAUAUUUUAAUGAUUUUUUUUCUGAUAAAAUAAUAUAUGCUCAUUUUAGAAAAUAUGAAAAAGGUAAAAAUUACCAUAAUUACAUAGCACACUUUGGUAUGUUUUUCUACCACCCUUCUUCUAUGCAUAUAAAUAAAUGAGAAAUAGUUUUAUAAUCUAAAAGCUUUAUCUGUACAUAAAGUUAAAUAUUAAUAUUUCUCUGUGGCAUUAAAUAUUUUUAAUGGUUGCAAAAAUUCCAUUAGAUUGAUGUACCAUGGAUUGGUUCCUGGAAGUGGAACUACUGUAUCAAAGAUACGUUUGGAAGACUCCAGAAAGGUAGGUAAUACAGUAAUAGAUGAGUUUGCAAAUUUCAUUGCAUUCUUAGCAACACUAGCUAUUAGCAUUUAUUUUCAGUAUCUGUCAGUCUUUGGGGAGACUUUCUAUAAUUUAGUGCGACAAACUUGCAGUUUUGCUCAUACACUCAUAUUAAUAACUUUACUAUUUCAAGGACUUAAAGUUCUUUGUCUUCUCCAUGAUGCUUAACAGAGCCUUGCCCAGACAUUGAAGAAAUGCAUAUUUUAAUUGGCUUUGGCAACAUUUCUUUUAAAAUAAAUUAUAUUUUGAACACAUGGAAAGGUGAAGAAAAGUAACAUUAAAAAAGAUCCAAAUUAUUUUACUUAAUAAAAUAGAAGAUUGUACUCAAUUCUUAAUGUAGUAGUAGAGCAUUAUGGCUAUCAGCCAGCAAUGUUAUAUUUACUGAAUUUAUUUACUGAAAUCAUACUGAUUUUAUUGAUUAUUGUGUCAUUAUCACUAUAGCACUUUCCAAAAUGUUUCAAAAUGCUUGGUUUAUAAGGUUAAGAAAAACGUUCACUAGAUAACUACUUUGAAAUAAUUUCUUCAGCGCUGCCUUCAUUCAAGAGGACUAGAAGCAUACUGGCCUGUUUCCAACUUUCUUUCAUGUUAUCUUUGCUAUGAAGUCAUUCUAUAGAUAGGGUAAUAAGCAUUUUGGCAUACAGAAAAAUAGCAUCUGUAAAACUAUAUGGCACAGUUUGGCUGGAGUUGUUCCUCCUUGAGAACUGCAUUACGUAAUUUAAAAGUGUUUUCUUAAGCUCCUUUGGGCUGCCUCCAUGGUAGCUAUGAAGUCACUGAGAACUAGGAACAGUUUGGGGCUUGAUAACAAAGUCUAUUAGUUUAAAGUGAACACUGUCAGUAUUUUAAAAAAUCAUUGCUUGAUAAGAAAUUUUAAAAACAAAGAUAUACUUAAUUCAUUUUAUUUUUUAAGGAAGCUUGCUACCUCAAAAAAUCAUCGAGAAAUACACACACAAAAAGGGUUCAUAAAUGUACAUUUGUUCAUUACUUAGAUGCUCUUAUUUUAAAACCUGUACUCUAUAGCAUGAAUUCACAGUGUGAUUUCAACUCAAUGUAACUAUAAAUAAUUAUGCAAAAUUACCAACAUGUAUAAAGCACAGCCUUUAGGAGAGUAUGAAUUAUUAAAAUGACUUCAGCACUAUUUCUGUCUCUAAAUCAUAAAGGAAGUUUUCUAAGGGAACAUCAAAGAUGUAUAAAUUAUAAUAAUAUCAGCUCUGGGAGAAUUUUAAAAGAUACUGGGUUAAAAGAAAAGAUUAAUCUCGACUACACAAAAAAAGGUAGUAUUUUCACUUCCCUAGAGAGAGAACUCUUGAGCCCCUUUACCAACCAAAUAACAAUGUGUACUAGUUUUAAAGAAAAAUAAUGCAUUGUGCAUUGUAAAAGUGGGAGAAGAGUCAUUCAGAAUUUGUAUGGUAAUCAAGUGUUAUAUCACCUCAAAGAAACAUGCAAAUUCUUAUAAAUUACCUAAAGUCUCAGCCGUCACUUUAGAAUUACUGAGUUUUAUGAAUAAACAAGCCCAAGUAAAGUCGAGACAAGAUCCUGACAUCUGAAAAGAUAUAGACCUUUUUUAGAAAUACCAUUUUAAUUAUGUAACAUGGAUUUAUUAUGAAAUUACUUAUUGGAACAAUAAUCUCCUUAGCAUUUUGCUUUUUAACUUUGAGAAGUCAUUUUGUGGCAUUGCCAAUGAUCUAGUGAGGUCCAAAAUCAGUGACAAUUCAAGGAGGGAAUGAAAAAAACUUUUAGGACCUGAUCAUCUGCUUGAAGGUACAGCCACUGUAGGUUUCCCAUCUAGCUUUGGAGAGAGAGGUGUCUGUGUAUGAGUGGCCUGACCUGGAGGGGAGGGAAUGGUCCUGAGGGAGAAGAAGGGAAGAUUAUGAGACCGCCCACCUAGACUGGCUCAUGAUUAGCUUUGCUGGAACAGUAAAAUGUGUGGGGUUUUAUAUUCCAUUCUAAUAUCAAAAAGAAGAUUUUUUUAGGUUUAAGCAUUUUUUCAUGUACAACAUACUGUUUAUAAUCUAUUUAUCUUAAGUUAACAUGUGUGGUGAUUUUAAACACAUUGCAAAUUCUGUGACACUCUUU